GUCGGGAUAGCUCAGUUGGU
Molecule: transfer RNA, 20 nt
Filed under: Anemone nemorosa
Lineage: Eukaryota; Viridiplantae; Streptophyta; Magnoliopsida; Ranunculales; Ranunculaceae
Also listed under: 8 other names
Description: partial tRNA-Phe
Source: RNAcentral